UAGGAAGACCCAGACUCACUGGACAGAUGG
This 30-nucleotide non-coding RNA is filed under the name Mus musculus (house mouse). The record is from RNAcentral. Lineage: Eukaryota; Metazoa; Chordata; Mammalia; Rodentia; Muridae.